GAGUUUAGAACACUUUGUUUCAACUAAGCAAUUUAUGAUUCCCCCACUGUAGUUUUGCUUCCAUGCAGCCAUGAGUAUGUGAAAGGUCAAAGCAACAUCAGGGAACUUUGUACUCUUGUUUUUCAAACACUGUGUGAUGGUCCCAGCCCAGUGACAAGCACCUGGGGGAGGGAAGUUAGCCAUUGAACAAGGAAAUUGUUUUGCAAUCAUUCUAAGUACAACAUAUUAGACAAAGAACUUAGAUGAGCAUACCAGACGCCAGAUAUAUUCGGGGAAGGGCAAUAUGUUUAGCUUCAAAUGUUAAUGUGAAUGACUCUCUAAGACAUAUGGAGGUAGAAAAAAAACAGGGAGAUCGUAUCCGCUUAUGGCUAUUUACCCCAGCCCUGGCUCUCUAUAGUGGACAACAAAGCAAUCCUGAACCCUCUGCACUGCACUGAAUCCCUGCGCCAUGAAUCCUCUGAGUGAUCCUUGGUUCCCCAUGUGGGAGAGAAAGACUGCCAUAGUGUAAUACUGCAUAAAAAGUGAUUUAUUAAAAACACAGAUGUACACUUACAGUUAUGUAGAAACAUAAACGCAUGUCAUAAA
Rana temporaria (common frog) is the source of this 585-nucleotide long non-coding RNA. RefSeq lists it as uncharacterized. The record is from RefSeq and is a predicted model, not a curated record. The transcript is spliced from 2 exons. NCBI's taxonomy places the organism in Eukaryota, Metazoa, Chordata, Amphibia, Anura, Ranidae.